AACGUAGGGGGCCAGCGUUGCUCGGAAUUACUGGGCGUAAAGGGUCUGUAGGCGGUGCGGCAAGUCGGAAGUGAAAUCGCAGGGCUUAACUCUGCGGCUGCUUCCGAAACUGCCGUGCUCGAGUGUGAGAUAGGCGAGUGGAAUUGCAGGUGUAGCGGUGAAAUGCGUAGAUAUCUGCAGGAACACCUGUGGCGAAAGCGGCUCACUGGACCAUUACUGACGCUGAGGCACGAAAGCUAGGGGAGCAAACAGG
This 253-nucleotide ribosomal RNA is filed under the name uncultured bacterium. RNAcentral describes it as "partial 16S ribosomal RNA". It matches the Rfam family "Bacterial small subunit ribosomal RNA", at positions 524 to 776 of the family's 1533-position model. The record is from RNAcentral.